RNAcentral lists this long non-coding RNA (9989 nucleotides) under Gallus gallus (chicken). Its description in RNAcentral is "lncRNA (ENSGALG00010004088.1)". Lineage: Eukaryota; Metazoa; Chordata; Aves; Galliformes; Phasianidae. The record is from RNAcentral.
CGUGAGUCGGCUCCUGCUAAAACUUUGCCGUCGAGCUGCUUUUGGGUUCGUCGGGCUGCAGUUUCCAUAGAAGCAACUUAUCCCCGCGAUCAUCUUGUUGGGUGCACUUUGCAAGCUCAUUUCCCGUCUGAGUUUGCUCCGCCGCUCUCAGAUGCUGCAGCUGACACAUUUCCUCCCCGUGCACUUUGCACCCACCUCAUCCUUGCCCAGAUGCUCGGGGCUGAUUGUGCCUAAAGGGGGUUUCAUUGCGCUCCGCAGCUGCCUCGGGGGAAGGGAGCAUUAUAUAUUUAUUUUGAGUUCUGCUUUUCCCCUUCUCCAGCAGGCCUUCCUCACUGCCCCGGCCCGGCCCUGGCACAACGAAGCGGCCCCCAGCCCCCGCCUCGUGCCCGUCGUGUACGAGCUCUGCCGGUGACAUCGGGGCCCUGUCCGCGUGGGCGGCCCUGGGGAGCAGCAGUGGGGACCUCGCCCUGCUCCCAGGACUGCUCCUGGAUGCUCUGCCAUAGUGCAGAGCCCCCGGGGUCUCGCCGGCGGCAUCCUGCUCCCCGUCACCGCUGCCCGGUGCUUUCAGCCACCUCGUUUGGCCACGUGGUGCACAUUGCUUCCACGCUUCCAUUCUGAACCUCCUGCUGCGUCCCAAGGACGGCUGCCCCCUUCAUCCUCGCUUCUGAAAUGCUCCUUUGCCCAUGGCUACGUUCCCCUGUCCCCAGAGCCACCUCUCAUGGAUCCCGCAUCCCUAAUUCUCAGUAGUACCACUGCUUCCCCAAAUCCCACUUUGCUGCAGCAGGUCUGGGCAAUCCCCAGCAUGUGGUCACACCUUUGCUAGGUCCCUUUUCCAAACUCCAUACUCUUCUGUGCCUUCUUUGCAGAUGCCAUGGAUCUGCCCCGGCAAGACCUUCCCCCACUAUGCUUUUGAAUAACGUUGCUUUUGUAUGGCGAUGUUUGCCUUCAUCCCCACUUCUGCACAUCCCUCUGCUGCUGCUGUUGUAUUCCCAAGCUUGGAGGCUUGCGAGGUAUUGUACCGAAACAUACACGUUUUGUCAUUUCUUCCUGGACAUCUGUGUUUUGGGCAGCCAACGCUGGGCUACAGGAUGGACGGGUGUCUGUUCUGACUGAGCUCUGACGUGCUUAUUGCUUUAUGGUCACGCUCCCAGCUCUGCAGGAAUGCCUUUUUACUCAAACUGUAUUUUCUAGCACCACCCUGUGAAGAGGAGCGGUGUUGUUUUGCAGUCACGAAGUCCAAGUUCACACACUUCAGUUCUGAUGUUUCUUCUGUCAUGUAGGGUUUCUGGUCUCUGCAGCGGGACCGGUGCCCCGAAGGCAUUUCUGUGUGUGUUAACUGCCACCUGCAAAGGGCUGUUGCUGAGCUGAUGCUACUGGAAGAAUGUUGCCACGAAAUCCAUCUGAAGGCAACAGCUCUCUGGCAUAGGAAGUGUUACUGGUGGGAGGUGUGUUAGAUCUGACUAUUAACUCUUGCCUAUUUACCCCAAAGCAACUUGAUGGUUUUUUUUAAUCUCUUAAGUAUGGGAUAAUUCCCACUAAUUUCUUGUCUGUGCUUUAGCUAAGUGUCUCUAGAAAUGCUUGUAGGGAACCAGUUGGGUGGCUCUGUAAGUUCUGUGAUUGCGCUAAAAGUGGGGAUCAAACAAUUCCCUUCUUACAUAGGAGAUGGUCUUCAGCUACCCUGGCUCGCCCAGUGAUACUUCUAAAUUUGUAUUUAAAGUAGUAAAUGUUGCAAAUUUUACACCCCUCCACAAUUCCCUGCAAGAUCCCCUUAGGAUAGAAAGGAGAGUGGAGCUGGUGCUGAGGUUACUGACAGCACCUCACCUGCACUGAGGAGCAAACCGAGGAUUAAAGAUGGGCUUGUGCCUGUGUUAGUCACCUGCCCAGCUGCUCCAGCUCCCUCAGCCUCUCUGUUUGGCCUGACUUUGGUUUGCAGGCACAGAACUGUGUGAAUAAGGUCACAAAAUGCUCACGUUCAUUUCACUGGGUAAAGGAAGGAUUGGAAACUGCAUCGGUGGGUGAAGAUGUUAAUACCUGUUCCAGGUCGGGUCUCCACCCCCAGCUGUCUUACAGCUUAAAUCUUAUGAUGAUUAUGAGGAUAGCUACCUUUGUAUAGAAUACUCUGUGCAUUUGUUGUUACUCAGUAGUAAUAAUGUUUCAUGAACAUAGGGGAGGAAUGAAGUCUGCGCCGCAGCUGUUGUUGGUGAAUCCAUUAUCCUGCCUUCCUUCCCAGCACUUCACCUACGGGAUGAAAAGCCUUGUACUGUUAAGUAAGCAGUGUUGAUCCAGUGGUUUACUGAAGCUGUUGGUGGUUCUGUUGGGAGAGGGCCCACAGCAUUCUCAGUGCUUUUUAGCUAAUGCAUAGAGCAAAAUAUUUUACAAUCAUUCCGCUCAGGUUUGGGUGCUGGAAACGCAACGGAACAAGAUGUGUGCAGUGAAUCCCAGAUGCGCCCUCUGAAGUCCCACUGAACCACAUGAGUUCUGGAGUUUCUUAGGCUGUAAAAACUUUGCUUCUCUACGGACCCGGAAUCUGUGUUAUCUAGGUUAAGCUGACUUUCUUAGCCACUGUCUGCUGCAUUAACCCAACUGGGAAUCACAAAAUAGGUACGUGUCUAAGUCUCUGGAGAGGCCUGGUCCAGGAGGUGUGCUCAGAUCAUGCUUAAAUGCACAUUGACAGCGUGGAGCUUAGCACAAAGCACAGCAGCUGUAGCUGCUGGAAAGUUUAAGGGGGAGAGAGGGAAAAGAACUGCUUCGCUUUUAGAAAUUGUUUUUCUCGUGAGAGCACUUGCCCUGGAAGUGAGAGAUUCAAUACUCUCCUCAUUAGAGAGGUGUUACGAACUCCCUCCCGCUUGUAAAGCACCCCCAACGACCAAAGAUAAGGCUGAGGUGGAGGAUACCCACCCAUCCUGUUGAAGCUUGCCGCUGUAAAGAAAAGGAUGCAAAUUUCAAAGGGCCAGAGGGAUUACAAACAAGAGGGAGCCUGUCACUGUAGCUCUGGGGCAAAGGCAUCUCUUGGAUGGCAAGAAGCUCGAAUGCCAGGCCUGGCCUGGCAGGCUCACCCAUUCUUGAGGGUGAGGUUCAUCUCACCUUAUCUUAUUUACUUAGAAGUUUGAUGUCUUGUCUCUCCACAGUCAGUGAGAAGAGAGAACAAGAGACACCUGCAGAGAAUGAUUCAUUCUGUGCCUGUUCGACACCGCUCUGGAUGGAACAAGUCUCCUUGCUGGGUGUUGUCUCUCCCCAUCAAUUCUCAGCAGAAGCUAGACAACCAGUUCUGACCAGAAGCCUGACUUACGGGUGCCACGUGAGAUGAAUUGUACCACAGAUGACUAAUUUUUCUCAUUCAUCAUACCUGCUUUUGGCCUAUAGAAGUUGGGUCAUCAAGGAAGAUAUUGAAGAGGACAGGCCCCAGUACCGACCCCUGAGGAACACCACUCGUGAUCAGUCGCCAGCUGGAUUUAACUCCAUUCACCACCACUCUGUGGGCUCAGCCCUCCAGCCAGUGCUUUACUCAGCAAAGAGUGUAUCUGACCAAGCCAUGAGAUGCCAGCUUCUCCAGGAGAAUACUGUGGGAGACAGUGUCAAAGGCUUUGCUGAAGCCUCGGUAGACUGUAUUGACAUGCAUAAUAUAAUCACAGAAUCACCAAGGUUGGAAAAGACCUCCAAGAUCAUCUGUUCCAACCAUCCCUCUACCACCAGUAUUUCCUGACUAACCCAUACAGAUGGACUAUGCCAGAGUUGGUUCUCAGACUUUCUAGACAACUAAAAACUAUGUUUUUCUUUGUUUUAUGUUUUUCUGUGGGAGUUGACACAUUUUAGGUAAAAUACUUGAAACAGAGAGAAAAUGAGCAGUGAUUAACGCACUUUCACCAAGAACGUAUUCUUGUUAUGGUCUUGUGGAGUACUGGAGAUUUACAGAGCACAAUGUGUAACCUCUAGGCCAAAUGCUCGUAGUUGUAAGCUUUAUGCAUUUCUGAGCCAUAGUUCAGCCUGUUGUUGGAUGUGGUAAUCUUUGAUUAUGGGACUGCUUAUUCAUUUGCUGAAAAGAUGUGACUUAUGUAGUUGAGAGAGACUGUCUUCAGUGGAAGCCUUGCCUCAGUUAUUGUAAGAAGAGGCAAGAUACACCCAUAAAACUGCUGAAUUCUGCUGUGGAGGAAUUAAUUCAAUCCAUGUGUCUGCCACAAUGUUUUUUUUGUGAGAUGAUAGUGAUGGACAAGUCACUUCAAGCAGAAUUUGGUCAGGAGACUGUUUAGCACAUGGGAAGUCAGUGGGAGUUGUUCUUAAAUAUCUUAAGUGUAAUGAAAAUGCCAAGCACUAUGAAGUAACAGGUCCAAGCUAUCACAAGCUUGGCAGCCAGAACUGGAGUUAUUAACCAGUAUGUUUUCUGGUCAGCUGCUUCACAAAUAACCAUUGUCUUAAAGUUAACAGAUUAUCAUUUUUUCCUUGAAAAGUGAAUGCCCCUUUUGAGGGUAGGACAGAGUAUAUUCUAGUGAGUGGUUCAUGAGUUGACAGAUGCUUAUUGUAAUAAGUGACAUCCCAAUUUCCAGUCAGCUUUUUGGAGACUGCAGAUGGAUUUUAGCUCCUGGUCUCCAACCAGGAGCUCACAGUUGGUGCAGAGCUGGUGAGGUGACCGCCAGGAACCAAGUGAAGCCGGCAGAGAGUGAGAGAAGAAAGAUAACACCGGCUUGGUUGGAUGGGGCUGGAGGACCAGGGAAGGUACCAAUCACAGCUGAGUGAGGCCUUGGAGCCUGAAGAAGGAGGUCUAAAGAUUAAAGGGGAACAGGAGAGAAGGAAAAUUCAAGAUUCAUAUCCCUUACCAUUUCUUCUUCUUCUUCUUUUUAAAUUUUCAUUUGAAAUUAAGAACUAAAAUAAGGAACAAUGCUCAGAAAGUGAAUGCUUCUGGAGACAUUUCUUGUGUGUCUGUGCCCUUUUAUAGGUACAACAACGUAUGGUGCUUUUCACCCUAAAUCUCCUGACUUCUGGGACACAAGCUCGAGAUUGAUGCCAUGAGGUCUAUAUUAACCAUCACAUAAGUGGAAGUCUCUGGAAGAGACUCCAGAGCUGGUAGUUUGGGGCGUUCAUCUGAAACACUGGGAAUUACCAGUUGUGGUGUGAACUAGAGAAAAACAGGCUACAAAGUGUUGGUCAUUGGCAGACCUUUUAAACAUCAGGUCACUUCUCUGAGAAUUUCCUCAGGAAAUGUUCAGAAUAUUCUUGGGUUUCUUCUGAACCAUGUCAGUAAGACAUCUGAAAUACUAACAAGUGCCACAAGGUGAGAAAAUCAUUCUUCCUGACCUGGAUCCAUUCAGUGCAGUUUGGGGUACAGGAUCUUUCCAUUACAACCAGCAUCACUUUGAAGUCAUAUCUGAUACAGAACUUCUGAAUAGUUGCUGGUAUUUGACUGUGUUUGCAGAAAUUGUUUAGUACACGGUGACUGUGUUCUGCUUCAGUGUUUUUUUGUCUAUUUUUAUGUGAGCUUCUGCUCUGUUUCUGAUAGCGUUUGUAUAGAUUCUAUCAAGGAAAACAAAUGUCAUGGGGAAGUUUUAGGUAAUUUUUUUGCUGUCGGGGUGUUUUUUGUUUUUUUUUUUCCUUCUGUAAUGCAGAUGUUCCUAUUUUAAACCUGGUAAAGGCAUUUCCAUCUGAGACGGUGAUACUCUGCUUUGUACACAGAGCAGAGAGAACAGAAACACACCUUUCAAAUUGGCUCAGGGAGCAAUGUGCAGUAUACCAAUUGCUCUCUUUUCCACUGCUGUGGACAUUCCUCUGCAGGAUAAGCAGGCUGCCCAUGUGGUUGCACAGGAGUGGCUGUGCAAAUGACAUGAAACAGGCUGUAGAUACUCCUUUGGUGGAGACCCAGUAAUCUUGAUGUUUUACACACGUGGGGCCUGAUGAAGAGAUGGUAAAACCCAGGGAGACUUUCCCCAUCAGCCUCACAGCUUUGAAUUCAGUUUCAGGUGCAGUUGAGGAUGUAUAUGAAGUAUACAGCUGGGAUUUGGCUGGGAGAACACUUGCCUGUGAGAGUGGAGAGGGAAUUUUUUUCACUGCUCUGGGGUGGUGAGUGAAUUUUAUCUAACACCUUCCACUUGCCUGUAGCCACGUUCAUAGAGCCAUAGAAUGUUCUAUACUGAUUCUGCCCCCAGACUGUAAAGAACAAGAUAAUAACUUUAUUUUAUGUACUGGAGAGCUAAAUUGUUUUCAAAGUCUUAGUUUAGCAGGCAAAGAUGAAUUUAUUUGCCAAAGACGUUCAGAAGCAGCUUGGGAAACUCUGCCAGAGCCCAGCUUUAACCACUAACUGGUGGCUGUUGUACUUAAUAGCUGUCAGGCAUGCUUGCAGUGUGAGGGAGACUGGCACAAAAUCCAGGAUAUAGGGGAUUUUCCUCCAAACAACAGCAAGUGCAAUCAAUUCACAAAUCGUAUAGUUGAAUAAGAAGAAAACCUGCAUCUGCAGCCACUUGCAUGUUGCAUCCCUUACUGGCUCUGCUCCCGUACCUGGGACGAGAAACAACCUUGCUCUUGUUUCACACUCUUUAUCCGUUCUAUCCAGCUCUAUUAACUUAGCGCACUGCUGAACAUUACCUUUGCUCUGCUUGCACUGCUGGCCUUUGCCAUCCUUUUCCCACCUAGAUAUCUUCGUGCUUUCCUGCAUCCUAACCUCCAUGUGUGGAACAAAGUCUGGAAAAUUCUCUCCAUCUGCUCUUCUUCAGAUCAUUCUGGCAGAUGCACUUCGACCCUGAUGCCUGUGGGGCACUGCUGAUAAUGGCCAGAGUGCAAGUUACAUUGUUUUCUAGCCAGCCAAUGUGAAAACACGUUCGUGUUAUUUCUACUGUGGUUUUCAUAUCAACCCCUUUCCUGCCAGGGAGGACAAAGCCAUAAUGCCUUUUUAGUAAUGGCCAACUGUCUUUGGAAGCUGACACAGAUAAGAGCGGCUCUCAGCCCACAAGUUGUUACCUUCCUUCUCCUCGAGUCACAGCUCCACCAGUUUGCUUUUAGCCAUCGUAUUCAUUUUGUUCUCCUUGACUUCUGCCCAUCUGUGAAUGCAGCUCUCUGGCCUCACCAAGGGACUAUGUCAGCAUCCACCCUUUCAGAAUAUGUUAACAGGUCUUGGCUCCAACCAGCAAAGGUCGUUUUUUUGGGGGGUGGCUUUCUUGCAUACGCAGCCACGGAGCCCUUUACAGAGUGACAAAAAGACUUCCUUCCCAUUUGCUAUUACUCACCUAACUGUGUUUGGAAGGGGCGGGCAUCCUAGCUAAUCAGAGCUUCAGACAGGCAAUUCCUCAAAUUGUUUUAGGGUUUUUAAUUAAAACUGUAGGCUUCAGCACCACAUGGCAGAGAGCCAGAAGCAGUCAUCUGACAAUAGCCUUCACCAUCUACCAACAAUAAGGGAAUUCCUAAGUGUACGCUCGGGAGGCUUCUGAAAUGCUGUGAACGGCUGAGAUUGGUGUUUGCAAAGCACCCUGCAACAUUUGGCCUUGCAGGUCUGCCGAUUUUUACAUGAUAUAAACAAAACCCUAUAAUCUCCACCCAGCACAGAGAUACUGACUUGUGUUUAUACUGUCCAGAUCACAGAUGCUGAGCAUGAAUGCAUGAGCAGUCCUUUUGUAUGGUGUUUGACACUUUCUGUGGCUGUCUGCGCUGUUUUUUAAUAUACAGAAUCCCCGGUUCUCCACUGCCUUGCACCCUGUCUAUUCAUUCUCACCCCUGUGAAGUGAGGGUAAAACACUAUCAAAACAAAAUGGUACCACUUUGCAUGUUUUCCACUCAGUUUGUACAGGUGUAAAUGACUACAGAAAGAACAGGGCAGAGCAGAACCUGACCCGCAGUCUGUCUCUCCAUGCGUCAGGGGUCCUGAAGUGGGGUAUGACAGAACAAACACAAGCUGUUACCUUGCCAGUUUUGCUUUUUUGUUUGCUUUUUGGUGUUGUUGUUUAAAAUCAGGCAGCUUGCAGGGAUGACAGAUGCAAAAGUCGGGCAGUACUUGGUUCCUGUAGUCCUCACGUGACGUCUUCUCAUCGAGUAACGAAAGUGUUACCCGUGGCAGAGGUAGGUGGGCAUGAUUACUGGUAUGGGAGCAUGAUUGUCAAUGUGAGUAAGCUCUGAGUAGUUGAGCUGUUGCAGUUAGAGAGAAAAAUCCUCCUUGUUCUUUCUGUUGCUUGUUACGUUACCUUAGCUCUUAUAAACUAUUACAAAGGAGGCUGAACUCUCCAAGCUGGGUCCUGGAAAAGAGUGGCACUCAAUUUUUAGAUGUAGUCAUUACUCUUUUUGUCCUUGUAGCAGCAGAAGGCUAUACCCAUCCUAAGUCAUCUUAAAUCAUCUUCUGAUACUGCUUAACACAUCUCUGCAGGCACGCACUUGAACCUUCUUCCAAAAGAAACGGUGGCUCCUUUCUAUGCUCUCUACACAAAACCCAGCUCUCUGGCUCUUGCCCUACUUUCCUCAGCAGCGCACCAGACCGUCCAAGCCCAAGUCUCUGUUUUCACCCAGAGAGAGAAUUUACUUAUGACACAUAGAUAUCAUUAUCACUCCUUUGCUGGAUGUUUCCCAUAAAUACAGAUCCUGCCUAUUCCUAGGCCCUGGACUACCCUAAACUUUCUCUUUGUUUGUCUGAUUUUUUUACCUCCAGAAAUCCUGUCCGGUUACAACUGUCCAAAUCCUUCAGCUCACACCAUUACCUGCUAGCUUGCCUUCACUUCUAAGGAGCCCAGGCACACGUCUCUGCUGUGGUUGCAGUUAAGGUGGCUAAGUAGCUAAAUGGGAGUGAACUCAAGUGUCCUUUUGUUGGCGCACCUCUGACUGUUAGCUGAUCAGUUGUAGGGGGGCUAAAAUUUGUGUGCUGAUAGAAAAUUAAGCACAUUGUAAAAGAUGUAUGUAAACAAACUGGAAAGAAGAGAAAGUAGAAGCUAGGUACCCAAUCCAGCUACGAGCUCUCCUGAACACUGCAGGAUCAGGUCUUAUAAAGGAAGCACUACCUCUUCCAUUAAUGACAGCAUCAUUAGCAGCGCAGAUAUAUAGAUCUCUUAAAUUAAUAGUGCAGCAGAUUGCUCCUGCUGCACUUAAGAAGCAGUUCAAUGUAACAACCACAAACUAAAAUAUUACCAAGUUUGUGAACUUCAAAGCAAACUUUCCUUCUUUUUAAAGAGUUUUACAGAACAGCUGAGCAUAUUUUCUCCUACCUCAUCUUUAAAGAAAUUACAAAAGAAUGUAUACAGCAGGCCUGAAGUUCCUGCCAGUCCUUCAUCUUGCUUUUCUUGGCAUAUUGGUAGGGAAUCUGGACACUGAAAUUUACUCUUAAUGAGGACCUUGUUUUACGGAUGUGUUCUUGUUCUGUGCAGUAACGCUUAUCUGAACUGCUUGUUCUCUUAUGGAGGGCCAAAAAAGAUACCUUGAAGAUAAACACUGAAGUAAUGAGUCAAAAUGCUUAUUUAUUUAUUUAUUUAUUUAUUUAGUUUGGGAAGUAUAGCUGGUCAUUAAUCCAGUUGAAUUCCCUUAUCGAUGUACGUAUUGGUUGAUUUUAAGUUUACGAUAUAUCCACAGUCUUCUGCAAUCUUCAUUUCAAGGAUUGGUGAACUGAGAGAAAAAAGGUGUGUUUUCUUUGGCUUGUGAUGGAUUAAACAUAGAGGCAGCAAAUAUUAGGUAGGUUUUGGUCAACGUAAAUGAAAGCUGCAGGCAGUAGUUUAAAUGGGAACAGUGAUUUAGCUGAAGUGUACCUGAACAGGAACUGAAGGUGGAAAGCAAGAAUGCGAAGAAGUGGCCAGGGCAGCAACUGUGCUGUGGAGCAAAUGAAGAGAAGCUGAAAACACUUACCUAGAAAUGAAAAAAUAACCCCAACUAACUAGCAACCAGCAAUAGGCAAGAGGGAUUAAAGCAAGCGAGAGAAAGCCCAGAUAUGCAGAAAUACAUUAUGCUUACUGCUGAUUGCCAAGAAUCAUUAAGUGACUGUCAUUGAAUGCUGGACUAAAAGCAAGGGAGAUGAAAAGUCAGAGCCUCUUUGAUGGGAG